This 904-nucleotide ribosomal RNA is filed under the name Melanomma sp. 'lichenicola'. Its description in RNAcentral is "LSU rRNA". It matches the Rfam family "Eukaryotic large subunit ribosomal RNA", at positions 36 to 959 of the family's 3401-position model. Lineage: Eukaryota; Fungi; Ascomycota; Dothideomycetes; Pleosporales; Melanommataceae. The record is from RNAcentral.
UAGCAUAUCAAUAGGGGAGGAAAAGAAACCAACGGGGAUUGCCCUAGUAACGGCGAGUGAAGCGGCAUCAGCUCAAAUUUGAAAUCUGGCUCUUUCAGAGUCCGAGUUGUAAUUUGCAGAGGGCGCUUUGGUGUCGGCAGCGGUCCAAGUUCCUUGGAACAGGACGUCACAGAGGGUGAGAAUCCCGUACGUGGUCGCUGACCUACACCGUGUAAAGCCCCUUCGACGAGUCGAGUUGUUUGGGAAUGCAGCUCUAAAUGGGAGGUAAAUUUCUUCUAAAGCUAAAUACUGGCCAGAGACCGAUAGCGCACAAGUAGAGUGAUCGAAAGAUGAAAAGCACUUUGGAAAGAGAGUCAAACAGCACGUGAAAUUGUUGAAAGGGAAGCGCUUGCAGCCAGACUUGCUUGUAGUUGCUCAUCCGGGCUUUUGCCCGGUGCACUCUUCUGCGAGCAGGCCAGCAUCAGUUUGGACGGUUGGAUAAAGGCCUCUGUCACGUACCUUCUCUCGGGAAGGCCUUAUAGGGGAGGCGUCAUGCAACCAGUCUGGACUGAGGUCCGCGCAUCUGCUAGGAUGCUGGCGUAAUGGCUGUAAGCGGCCCGUCUUGAAACACGGACCAAGGAGUCUAACAUCUAUGCGAGUGUUUGGGUGUCAAGCCCGAGCGCGUAAUGAAAGUGAACGGAGGUGGGAUCCCGCAAGGGUGCACCAUCGACCGAUCCUGAUGUCUUCGGAUGGAUUUGAGUAAGAGCAUGGCUGUUGGGACCCGAAAGAUGGUGAACUAUGCUUGAAUAGGGUGAAGCCAGAGGAAACUCUGGUGGAGGCUCGCAGCGGUUCUGACGUGCAAAUCGAUCGUCAAAUUUGGGCAUAGGGGCGAAAGACUAAUCGAACUAUCUAGUAGCUGGUCUGC